Molecule: ribosomal RNA, 503 nt
Filed under: Glaciozyma watsonii
Lineage: Eukaryota; Fungi; Basidiomycota; Microbotryomycetes; Kriegeriales; Camptobasidiaceae
Description: partial large subunit ribosomal RNA
Rfam family: Eukaryotic large subunit ribosomal RNA
Source: RNAcentral
GGAGGAAAAGAAACUAACAAGGAUUCCCCUAGUAACGGCGAGUGAAGCGGGAAGAGCUCAAAUUUGUAAUCUGGCCCUUUCAGGGUCCGAGUUGUAAUCUCGAGAAGUGUUUUCCGCGCCGGACCGCAUACAAGUCUGUUGGAAUACAGCGUCAUAGUGGUGAGAGCCCCGUAAUUGAUGUGGAUGCCCGGUGCUUUGUGAUACACUUUCGAAGAGUCGAGUUGUUUGGGAAUGCAGCUCAAAUUGGGUGGUAAAUUCCAUCUAAAGCUAAAUAUUGGCGAGAGACCGAUAGCGAACAAGUACCGUGAGGGAAAGAUGAAAAGCACUUUGGAAAGAGAGUUAACAGUACGUGAAAUUGUUGGAAGGGAAACGCUUGAAGUCAGACUUGCUAUUCGGAAUUCAGCCGCAAGGUGUACUUUUCGAUUUGCAGGCCAGCAUCAGUUUUUGGGGGUGGAAAAGGGUGGAGAGAAGGUAGCAACCUUGGUUGUGUUAUAGCUCUUUAC